UGGGGAAUACUGGACAAUGGGCUGACGCUUGAUCCGGCAAUGUUAAAUGAAUGAAAAGAAGGUAUUUAGCUGUAAAGUUCAUAAGGUUAAUUCUUACAUAAUGAACGGAUUAAUAAAGCCCCGACUAACUUCGUGCCAGCAGUCGCGGUAAUACGGGGGGGGCAAGUGUUACUCAUCAUGACUAGGCGUAAAGGGUGUUAAGAUCACUAAGGCUUGUCUUUACACAAAAAUCAAUUGAACUAUUGAAUAUGUUAAUUAAACAACUUAGCUUGAGUUAAUCAGAGAAUAGAAUUACUAGUUUUUGAGGGGUAGAAUCCGACUAGAAGAUUAGGAGGAACAAGGGCGAAGGCACCUAUUUAUGAUUAACUGACAUUGAUAUACUAAAGCGUGGGGAGCAAAC
This 400-nucleotide ribosomal RNA is filed under the name uncultured bacterium. RNAcentral's name for it is "partial 16S ribosomal RNA". It matches the Rfam family "Bacterial small subunit ribosomal RNA", at positions 355 to 773 of the family's 1533-position model. The record is from RNAcentral.